Molecule: ribosomal RNA, 747 nt
Filed under: uncultured Actinomycetes bacterium
Lineage: Bacteria; Bacillati; Actinomycetota; Actinomycetes
Description: bacterial SSU rRNA
Rfam family: Bacterial small subunit ribosomal RNA
Source: RNAcentral
GUCGAGCGAUGAAGCACCUUCGGGUGUGAAUUAGCGGCGAACGGGUGAGGAACACGUGAAGAAUCUGCCUUCAACUCUGGGAUAACUCCGGGAAACCGGGGCUAAUACCGGAUAUGAGCCUUGAUCGCAUGAUCGGGGCUGGAAAGUUUUUCGGUUGAAGAUGACUUCGCGGCCUAUCAGCUUGUUGGUGAGGUAAUGGCUCACCAAGGCGACGACGGGUAGCCGGCCUGAGAGGGCGACCGGCCACACUGGGACUGAGACACGGCCCAGACUCCUACGGGAGGCAGCAGUGGGGAAUAUUGGGCAAUGGAGGAAACUCUGACCCAGCGACGCCGCGUGAGGGAUGAAGGCCUUCGGGUUGUAAACCUCUUUCAGUAGGGAAGAAGCGAAAGUGACGGUACCUACAGAAGAAGCACCGGCUAACUAUGUGCCAGCAGCCGCGGUAAUACAUAGGGUGCAAGCGUUGUCCGGAAUUAUUGGGCGUAAAGAGCUCGUAGGUGGUUCGUCACGUCGGAUGUGAAACUCUGGGGCUUAACCCCAGACCUGCAUUCGAUACGGGCGAGCUUGAGUAUGGUAGGGGAGUCUGGAAUUCCUGGUGUAGCGGUGGAAUGCGCAGAUAUCAGGAGGAACACCAAUGGCGAAGGCAGGACUCUGGGCCAUUACUGACACUGAGGAGCGAAAGCGUGGGGAGCGAACAGGAUUAGAUACCCUGGUAGUCCACGCCGUAAACGGUGGGCACUAGUUGUG